RNAcentral lists this ribosomal RNA (510 nucleotides) under uncultured bacterium. RNAcentral describes it as "bacterial SSU rRNA". It matches the Rfam family "Bacterial small subunit ribosomal RNA", at positions 30 to 527 of the family's 1533-position model. The record is from RNAcentral.
AUUGAACGCUGGCGGCAGGCCUAACACAUGCAAGUCGAACGGUAACAGAAAGCAGCUUGCUGCUUUGCUGACGAGUGGCGGACGGGUGAGUAAUGUCUGGGAAACUGCCUGAUGGAGGGGGAUAACUACUGGAAACGGUAGCUAAUACCGCAUAACGUCGCAAGACCAAAGAGGGGGACCUUCGGGCCUCUUGCCAUCGGAUGUGCCCAGAUGGGAUUAGCUUGUUGGUGGGGUAACGGCUCACCAAGGCGACGAUCUCUAGCUGGUCUGAGAGGAUGACCAGCCACACUGGAACUGAGACACGGUCCAGACUCCUACGGGAGGCAGCAGUGGGGAAUAUUGCACAAUGGGCGCAAGCCUGAUGCAGCCAUGCCGCGUGUAUGAAGAAGGCCUUCGGGUUGUAAAGUACUUUCAGCGGGGAGGAAGGGAGUAAAGUUAAUACCUUUGCUCAUUGACGUUACCCGCAGAAGAAGCACCGGCUAACUCCGUGCCAGCAGCCGCGGUAAUACG